Molecule: ribosomal RNA, 392 nt
Filed under: uncultured bacterium
Lineage: Bacteria
Description: bacterial SSU rRNA
Rfam family: Bacterial small subunit ribosomal RNA
Source: RNAcentral
GAUGAACGCUAGCGGCAGGCCUAAUACAUGCAAGACGAACGGUAAGUUGAGUAGCAAUACUUAGCCAAGAGUGUCGUACGGGUGCGUAACACGUAUGCAACCUACCCUAUACAGGAGGAUAGCCUAGGGAAACCUGGAUUAACCCUUCAUAGUAUUAUUGGAUGGCAUCAUUUGAUAAUUAAAACUGAGGUGGUAUAGGAUGGGCAUGCGUCUGAUUAGUUAGUUGGCGGGUAAUGGCCCACCAAGACGAUGAUCAGUAGGGGUUCUGAGAGGAAGAUCCCCCACACUGGGACUGAGACACGGCCCAGACUCCUACGGGAGGCAGCAGUGGGGGAAUUUUGGACAAUGGGCGCAAGCCUGAUCCAGCAAUGCCGCGUGCAGGAUGAAGGCCU